Molecule: ribosomal RNA, 497 nt
Filed under: uncultured bacterium
Lineage: Bacteria
Description: partial 16S ribosomal RNA
Rfam family: Bacterial small subunit ribosomal RNA
Source: RNAcentral
GAUGAACGCUGGCGGCGUGCCUAAUACAUGCAAGUCGAGCGAACGGACGAGAAGCUUGCUUCUCUGAUGUUAGCGGCGGACGGGUGAGUAACACGUGGAUAACCUACCUAUAAGACUGGGAUAACUUCGGGAAACCGGAGCUAAUACCGGAUGAUAUUUUGAGCCGCAUGGUUCAAAAGUGAAAGACGGUCUUGCUGUCACUUAUAGAUGGAUCCGCGCUGCAUUAGAUAGUUGGUAAGGUAACGGCUUACCAAGGCAACGAUGCAUAGCCGACCUGAGAGGGUGAUCGGCCACACUGGAACUGAGACACGGUCCAGACUCCGACGGGAGGCAGCAGUAGGGAAUCUUCCGCAAUGGGCGAAAGCCUGACGGAGCAACGCCGCGUGAGUGAUGAAGGUCUUCGGAUCGUAAAACUCUGUUAUUAGGGAAGAACAUAUGUGUAAGUAACUGUGCACAUCUUGACGGUACCUAAUCAGAAAGCCACGGCUAACUACGUG